UACACUUUAGUAUAAUUGUAUAAAAGUUUUUGAUAUUUUAGGUAAUAAUUUGUUUUAUUAGGUGUAA
Molecule: transfer RNA, 67 nt
Filed under: Trigonopterus sp. 3 AH-2016
Lineage: Eukaryota; Metazoa; Arthropoda; Insecta; Coleoptera; Curculionidae
Description: tRNA-Gln
Source: RNAcentral